RNAcentral lists this ribosomal RNA (251 nucleotides) under uncultured Serratia sp. Its description in RNAcentral is "partial 16S ribosomal RNA". It matches the Rfam family "Bacterial small subunit ribosomal RNA", at positions 524 to 774 of the family's 1533-position model. Lineage: Bacteria; Pseudomonadati; Pseudomonadota; Gammaproteobacteria; Enterobacterales; Yersiniaceae. The record is from RNAcentral.
UACGGAGGGUGCAAGCGUUAAUCGGAAUUACUGGGCGUAAAGCGCACGCAGGCGGUUUGUUAAGUCAGAUGUGAAAUCCCCGGGCUCAACCUGGGAACUGCAUUUGAAACUGGCAAGCUAGAGUCUCGUAGAGGGGGGUAGAAUUCCAGGUGUAGCGGUGAAAUGCGUAGAGAUCUGGAGGAAUACCGGUGGCGAAGGCGGCCCCCUGGACGAAGACUGACGCUCAGGUGCGAAAGCGUGGGGAGCAAACA